AGACCCGUUCUGGAGUUCUAGAUUUCUGCUUGUGGUGUGUCAAUCAUUCAAUCAGACCUAACAGCAACUCCAGAUUGCGGCUGUCAGAAGCCGUGGCCUCGCACGCCUUUCCUGGGCAACACCAUCAGUCCACCAGGGCAGGCUGGACACAUGGAGCCUGCGACUCUCCCCUGCCCAGUCCAGCCCCUGCUCCACUGCUGAGGAGCAGAACUCACCACAUAGGAAUGAAAAGGAGGAGGUGAAAAGGGAGCCUUGAGGGAGAGAAGACAUGAUAUUGACCAUAACAGGUCCUGCUGAGGAUCCCUGGUGCCCAGUAGGGAACACCGUGAGGAGGAGGAUUAAGAAAGGCACCCUUUCCACUGAUUUGCAUCGCCAUUUGUACAUGGAGUUUGGCUACAGCAAAAUCCGUUGCUAUCUCACCAGCUACAAGAAGCAAAGAACGAAUUGCAAUUCAUUUUUGUGCUCUAGGACCCGGUUGAGGAGUUUUCCAGCUGGAUUUGAUGUCACUUUCCCAUGCUGUCACUAAUCCCCAGCCACAACAGAAUGGGUCACACUCUUCUGCACUUUGGACCCUUUGCCCAUGCCAGAGUUAUCCGCUGACCCUCUUCCCAUGGCUGUCACCUCUUCAAAAAGGUCCACUGAACCUGAAGUAGAUGUCCUCCCUCUAUUAAGAUUCAACGUAUCAAAUCCACCCUUUCAAAGUCUUAGACUAGCACCUGGCAUACAUCUCCUUGCUGACAAAAAAGGAAAUGACUUCUGAAGACAUGAAAAAAAAAAAACAGGGUGAAGACAAAUUGGGUUAGAAUAACCCAUGACCUAGAUCAUUAGACUUUGACUAAUGAAGAACUGCCUUUUAACAGAGUUAAAAUUGACAGCACCAUGGCCUCACACCCAACAGGGUUUGAGGCUGGACCCUUCUUUGACAAACGAUGCCCUGAUUUACGCGCAAAAAUACCCAUCACAGCAUUAUUUAUAAUAUUCCCUGUCCAAUGCUGGGGACCUAGUUCAAUUAGCUAUAGAACAGCCAUUUGAUGAAAUAUUAUAAAGCUAUUAAAAUAAUAGGGGCAAAGAAAUUUUAAAACAUGGGGAAAGCCUUGAUGUUGUAAUAUUAAAUGAAUGAAGGAAUUCUAUGAAUGAAACUCAUUAAAACAUGUCUUCACAGUAGCUGCAUUGAUUGCACAUUUACUAUCGUUCAGGCAUCUUUUCCAAAUGUGAUACAGGAGGGCAAGCUUGGAAACAAGACGGGAACCUCUUGAUCCAUGGCACAAUGCUGUCGACCCCUAAGUUCUUCCUCUUUAUCUAAACCCAGGUUUGGAAGUACACCAAAAUAUUAAUACUAUACAUCAUUGCAAGCUUUCCUUCUUUGAUCCUCUGUAUUUUGUAAAUGUUCCAACACCUUUUAAAAUACACUUUUGUUCUCCUUUAAAGUCUCCCUGAGAGCUUCUAGAAGGCAGCUGCUGUGGGCUCACAUCAUCCAUCCUUCCCCCCGCAAAUGUGUAAAUAAAGAAACACCUCUGUGCCUUUAAAUUAUAACAGGCUAAACUUUCCCCUGUAAGUUGAUACUCAGACCAGAAGUCUGUGGGUAGGAAGAGUGUUGUGUUUUUUUGUUGCAGCUUCUUUUGGCUGAUAAACUAGCACUUAAGUGUUUCCCUUUUCCAAACCCCCAAAUGACAAGUAUCUUUGUGGUAAAGUGAUGGCCCAACUGUCAUGGCCAUCAUAAACGGUGCUGAGGACACUUAUUUUUAGUUUACUGUCUAAGGAAGCACUAGGCUUGCUAACCAGAGACCUUGGGGCCCAAACCCCU
RNAcentral lists this long non-coding RNA (1804 nucleotides) under Homo sapiens (human). RNAcentral describes it as "non-protein coding lnc-APIP-1:5". Lineage: Eukaryota; Metazoa; Chordata; Mammalia; Primates; Hominidae. The record is from RNAcentral.